GGGUGUAAUACUUUUGUAGCUUGUUUUGCAAAGACAUGUUUGGCUGGUUAGCCUGCAUCUU
RNAcentral lists this transfer RNA (61 nucleotides) under Prosthogonimus cuneatus. Its description in RNAcentral is "tRNA-Cys". Lineage: Eukaryota; Metazoa; Platyhelminthes; Trematoda; Plagiorchiida; Prosthogonimidae. The record is from RNAcentral.